This 6108-nucleotide unclassified non-coding RNA is filed under the name Hevea brasiliensis (rubber tree). The record is from RNAcentral. Lineage: Eukaryota; Viridiplantae; Streptophyta; Magnoliopsida; Malpighiales; Euphorbiaceae.
GGAUCUCUCUAGUUGCUUCUUCACUUGAGAAAUUGUCAACAGCACCUUGGAGAAGGUUCUUUAUUGUUCCUUUUUCUAUGAUGUUCUGUUUCUCAAUAGUCUCACUUGAAUCAGUGUUUACAAUUUCCUUGCAUGACUCUUCGUUUUGUAUUUCCUUUGCUACUAUCUUGUCUCCUGGAAUUUCUUCACCCUUCAUCUCAUGCUUUUGUUGGAUCGUUUUAGUUGCUUCUUCAACCAAGAUAUUGUCAACAACAGCUCGUUGAAGGCUCUCAACAGUUGCUUUUUCUAUGCUGAUCUGUUUUUCAAUUGUGUCACUUGCAUCAGUCUUCUCAAUUUCCUCACGUAACGCUUCAUUUUGUGUUGCCUUUGUUAACACCUCAUCUCCUAGACUUUCUUCAUGCUUUAUCUCUUGAUCUUGGUGGCUCUCUUUAGUUCCUUCUUCACCAAGAGUUAUUUCCUCACAAUUCUUGGCAUCAUUCUCUUCGAUGAUCUGUUCAUGUGUGACUUCAUUAUGUAUGUUCUCAGCUGCAUCGGUUGUUUUUUCACUUUGAUUUUCUUUGACCAUUAAAUCCAAAGUUGUUGCCUCUAAAUGCUUUUCCUUGAUUUCAGUUUCUUCUGAUUCAUUGAGUACUUCGCGACCAUGAACUUCUAAUAUAGAUUCAGAACCCUCUUCACUUAGCUCAGUCUUGAGAGUGGAGGUUUUCUCAGACAGCCCUGUUAUUUCAGAUUCCGAGAUUUUCCCACUUUCUAGUGGAUGUUCUGCAUCUCUCAUCUCAUUUCCAGGUUCAGCCUGCAAUUUUAAAUGUUCAUCUGGAGUCCCAUCUUCUGCCACAUGGAUUUCUUCAAGACUCUCCUUCUGUAUAUCAUUGUCAAUUUGAAGAUCUAAUUGGGAGGUUUUGAGCUUCCUUGUCUCUUCCUUUUUAAUGCAUCCCUCUUCUGUUGUUUUUGGUGCAUUUUCUGGUAUUUCCACUUCCAUUGCCUUUUCUUCUAUGCUCUUAGUGUUGGUUGAAAUGCCAUGCUCCUGUUCUUUGGAAAGCAAUCCAGCUAAUGAUGUCUGAUUUUGCUCCUCUGAUGUCUCUACUGGUAGAGAGUGAUCCGAAAUAAUUUCAUCUUCUGCUGCUUCUGUAUGGUCUUCAGAACUGGACUUGGAUGCUAAUUCAGAAACUUCUUUAAUUCCUUCUGUAGUACCAUUUUUAGCCCCAUCUUGUCUAUCAUGUAUUUCAUUUGGGCUCUCCUCCUGUGCAUCUAUAUCAGGUUGAAACUCCAACAGGGAGACUUCAAGCUCUCUGGGAUCUUCCUUGUGGAGGAAUACCUCAUCUGUUGCUUUUGACUUAUUGUCCAGCACUUCCAUUUCCUUCUUGUUCUCUUCUGUGCUCUUGAUUUUGGCUGAAGUUCCAUCCUCUUGUUCCUUUGAAAGCAGUGAAGAGGACUGUUUCUGGUUCUGUUCUUCUGGUUUCUCCACAAGAUUAGUCUGAUCAGAACUGAUUUCUUCUUCUUUAUCUUCUCCAUCAUCUUUUGAAUUAGAAUUUAAUAUGGAAACAGAAGAUCCCUUCUUUUCUUCAGUUUCUGAUGAAGUCUCUUCUUGUUCCUUUUGUGCUUCAUUUGGACUCUCUUUUUUAUCUUUACUAAUUUCAAGGUCUAAUUGGGAGACAAUGAUAUCCCUGGACUCUUCAUUUGGUAAGAAACACUCUUCACUUGUUUUUGGUCCAUCUACUGGCAAUUCCACUUCCGUUAUGCUUUCUUCUAUCUUCUCAACUUGCAUUGAGUAUUCAAGUUCAUGUUCCCUGGAAAGUAAUGCAUCUGAUUCUGUUUGACGUUGUUCUUCUGAUUUCUCCUCUUUAUCAUCAGCAACUAUAUCUUCUGUAGCAACUUCGUGGUUGUGACAUUUGGACUUCAAUGCUGUUUCAGAAACUUCUUUGGUUUCUUCUUUAAUUUUGUCUAGAGUUUCCUCUUUCUCCACUUGCAGGCAUCUGUCUUCUGUUGUCUCUAAUGCAGAAGAAUUUUCUGGCUUUUCAUCCUUUGCUAUUACCUUUUUCUCUAUCUUCUCUCCGAUAUUUUCAAUUGUGGCUUUAGUUUCACGCUCCUCUUCUUUGCAAGGAAUUGCUAGAGAUGGUGUCUCAUGUUCUUUUGUUAUCUCUUCUGGGCAGGUCUGAUCAUUAGCAACUUCAAUUCCUGUAACUGUUUCAUCACUCUGAGACUUGUGUACUGUUUCAGAGGCUGCUUUGAUUUCUUCUCUAAUUUCAUCUAUGUGCAGCUCUUCCACUCUCUGAUUUCUGGAUUCAUAAACUACAUCAGAAGCUUUUCCACUAUCCUCAUUGUCAUCUAGAUUUGCAUUUUCCUUCUCCAUGGUUGCAUUCUCCCGUGUUAUGCUCUCAUGAUCAGGUGGAAGUCGCGAUGCCAAGUUUGAGGAGUUUUCUUCAAGCACCAUGCUGUCCUGUUGACAUGCCUCAACUUCAACUGCAUGUGGUUUGCUCUCAUCUGAGGGGAUGCUAGAGUGCUGCACUAGCUUUUCAUCUGUCAGAACUUCCUUCAAGCUUGGUUUUGCUGUUACCUCCACCACAGUUGUUGCCUUUAUAUUGUCAUAACCACUAUCUGCAUCCUCUAAGAUCUGCUCCUUAAUUUUUUCUUCCGAUUCUUUUGUUGGUAUAAUGGGUGAGAGGCUUACAGUCUUUUCACUAUCUGCAUCUUCCAAUUCUCUUUCUCCCUUUCCUUUUGUAGCUAAUAUAUCUUUUUCCACGGCUUGUGGUACUUGAACCUCUGAGCUUAUUGUUUCUGUCUGUUCAUUGGAGUCUGUUGCUUUAAGAGAUUCGGUGGAUACAAGGCUGAAUUCUUUCACCUCAUCUUCUCUUUCAUCUUCAGUGGAUACAGUGUGAAUUUCCUGUAUAUCAUUCUCUUCCUUGUUAAGGUGUUUGACAGUUUCAUCAAAAUCAGCUUUCUCAACUUCUUUGUGCACCUCUUCAGUUAAGAUGGUAGCCUUUAUUGUCUCAUCUGCAUUUUGUGUUUCUUUAAUGUGAUCUUCAGCCUCCAACUUUGACUCAGUUAUCUCUUCUGUCUCCUCCUGAUUCUCUUGAGAUUCUUGGGAUCUUUGUUCAAAAGAUUCAGAAAUUCUCUUUUCCUCAACUGUGCUUAGGUUGGUAUCAAGGAUUGUUUCAUUGCUUUGAUCUCUUGUCACUAUUUCAGAGGUACAAUCAAGCUUCUUACUAGACUCCAAUGAUUCAAAAUUCUCUUCUGUUGGAAUUCCAAAGUUUUUGGUCUCACUGGCCUCAAGCUCUUGUUUCUGGGCUCCUGUUGCGAGCUUAGCAUCUUCUUUUUCUACUGCAUCAUCUUUCUUUAAGCUAGAAUUUUUAGCAGAAUCCUCAACAUCAUCUUUCUGAGCUUCAGAUUUCUUAGCAGAAUCCUCUUCUUCCAGGAUAAUUGAAUUGCAAAUCUCUCCCUGAUCAACUAGGUCUCCUGUUUCUUCCAUCUUCAAGAUUUCAGUGUCCUCUGGUUUGGAGAGAAUUUUUUCAUUAAGUAGCUCAGGAUUCUGAUGAAGAUCCUCACUCUGGUAAGACCUGGCUUCUUCAUUUGUAAUCUCUGUUCCAGUGUCCACAAGAACUAAUCCUGAGACCUCGUCUGCAGCUGUGAUCUUAUCCUCAUCUACUGGCUUGCUUUCUUCACUAGUUAUGAACUCAGAAUCUUUUGAUAAAAUUUUAGGGCAUUCCAUCAGUUUAUCAUCUGAUAUUUUGCCUGAAGAUGUUGCAGUAAUAAUCAUCUCCCUUUGAUUGUCAAUUCCUGCAAUAAAAGCUUCGUUUUGGAUGUCAUGCUUUAUAUCUUCUCCAGCUUCAUAUGCUUCUCGUGAUAUCUCAUGGUCCCUCUUCUCAACCAAGGUGGUGGCAUCAUCUCUUGGGACAUUGCUAUCCAAACUGUCCAAUGCAGUUCCUUUUGUGUCACCUGACAUCGGUCCCUUCUCUUGAGUGUAGGGACCCGAACUUUCAAACUGCCUUUCAUCUUCUAGUUCGACUUCCACCCCCUCAAAGCUUGUUUCUUUUGUCACUUCCAUAACAGAUGCUGAGAUAGAAUCAUUAACAAGUGGCUCUUCUUUCCCUAAGGUGUCUUCUUUGCUCUGUGACUCUAAUAAGAAGACUUCAACAAGGCUUUCAUUGCUUUCUUUAGGCAGCAUUCCUUCUUCAGAUUCUUUCGCAGGAUAAAGGCCAAUAUUUGGUUCUUGUUUUUCCUCCGGGUUGUAGAGUUUAUUUGCCUCCUCAUAAACUCUUGAUGCAAUCUGUUUUGUGGAUUCUGAAUUGAAGCUUUUUAUCUCUUCUUUUUCCUUCUGUAUAGUAUCUUCUUCAUCUAUUCCUUUUACAGGAACAUCAAAGUUGCCCUUAGUUGCAUUGCCUUCCUCUGUGAUCUGUUUCACAGUAUCCUCAUUCUCAGCAGGUUGAAUAAUUUCAUGCAUCUCUUUUUUUGGCACCACUGCUAUCAUAUCAUCUGCAUUUACAAUAGCAGGUUCUGUCGACUGGUCCUUUAUAACAUUUACCUCCUCUGGAACUAGUUUUUCAGUGUCCUUAACUAUACUGGUUGGCUCCAGUUCUUCUUGCCUCUCCAUUUUGGGUUUCUCUUCUUCUUUCUCCCCUUUAUUGAUUAGAGCUGUUACUUCUCCAGCUGAUUGUGGUGAGAUGCCUGUGGUGGUGUGUGCUUCCAUUAUGAUGUGUUUUUUGCUCUCUUCUUUCAGGCAAGCAGUCUUAGUAUCCCUGUAUACCUCUUCAAUCUCUUCCAUUUUUCUUUCCUCUUCUGUAUUAUUGCUUGUUUGUUUGCCUUCUGUAUCUAUUUCACUUGUUAUUGGCUUUGUCUCCACAACUUCGGUCUCCACACUUACAUUUUUGUUGCAUGUUUCUUCCUCUGGUUUUUGAUCCUCUCUGGUUGAGACUUUUUGCGCUUUGUUCUCAAUAUCUUCAUUUCCUUCUUCAUUAUUUUCUUUCUCUACAGUUUCUUCAGUAUAUUGGAUGGCUUCAACUUGUUUUGCUAUUAUGAUGUCAUUGGCCUGUUCACCCAAUGUAUCUGUCUCAGUUUCUGCAGUAAUUAUAUUUGAUGAUGUGUGAGGAAGUUCUUCUGUUUCAUUCUUCUGCAACUCCGGUUCCCUUUUUUCUUCACUCUGUGAUCUUUCCUUCUCGCAAUUCUUGAUAGCCUCUGCUAAUUCAGUAUUGCUGUCAUUACCUUCGCUAGCUUUGAUCAAAGAUCCAUUGUUUGUCUCCUCUGGCAAUUCUUCUGUUGGAUUUAUGUUCUCAACCUUACCCUGCAAGCUUUCCUCUUCUUUCAUUGAUGCAGUUGGAAGAUUUGCAUUGGGACUUUCGUUAUUUUCAUUUGUCUCAACUACAAUUCUCUCAUAUGUUUUGCUUGUUAGAGACUCCUUAGAAAUCUCUUGGUUAGACACUUCAGCAUUAAUUUCAUCAUUAUGGAGAUUCUUAAGCGUUCCUUGCUCAAUAGAUUCUUUUGGGAGGCUUUCAAUAUCACUCUCAUGCAUGAUAUGUCCCUUGGUGUCAUCUUCUUCUUUAGACAUUUCUGCCUCCUUUGCAUUGUCUUGAGGAUUCUCAACUAUCUCUUCUUCAGUGUUAUGAGCCACUUCUGUCAAAGUAACUGCCUCAGUUUCUGCAGAUAGCACAGUAAUCAGCGGUUCAAGAUUUUCUCCAGUUUCUAUCUUUUUCUCUAGUUGUUCUGAAUCUUCCUCACUCUUCAAUGUCUCCUCAUUUUGCUCUUUAAGUUCUUCUAAUCCAGUGUUAUUCCCAUUCUCCUCAUCCAUUUUGAGAGUAAGAGUAGAGUGAUUCUUAUCCUUUUCAUCCAUGGGUGGAGCUUCUGGUGGAGUCAAGUAACUUGGCAGACUUUCAUCCCUUACUAGUGAAGCUUGAAGAGACAAGUUGAGACUUUCAUCAUUCUGAUUCAUUUCAUGGGAAAAAUGAUAAUCCGGUUCGGAUUUUUCCUUGGCACUGUCCAUGUUAUCCUCUUCUAGCCUAGUGUUGCUAUCACCAUCUUCAUCUAUAUUUACAGAAGACCCAUUCUCCUCCUUUUUCUCCUCCAUUGAGGCUUCUGCUAGAAUGUUCUUACCCUCAUCCUGUAGACUUUCCACUUCUUUUG